RNAcentral lists this ribosomal RNA (265 nucleotides) under uncultured archaeon. RNAcentral's name for it is "partial 16S ribosomal RNA". It matches the Rfam family "Archaeal small subunit ribosomal RNA", at positions 719 to 982 of the family's 1478-position model. The record is from RNAcentral.
AGACGUCUACAUUAGAUACCCCCGGUAGUCCUAGCCGUAAACGAUACUCGCUAGGUGUCGGCCACGGUGCGACCGUUGUCGGUGCCGUAGGGAAGCCGUGAAGCGAGCCACCUGGGAAGUACGGCCGCAAGGCUGAAACUUAAGGAAUUGGCGGGGGAGCACCACAACGGGUGGAGCUUGCGGUUUAAUUGGAUUCAACGCCGGAAAUCUUACCGGGACCGACAGCAACAUGAAGGCCAGGCUGAAGACUUUGCCGGAUUAGCUG